AGCUCUUCCGGCACCUGCUCUUCAGGCACCUGCCCUGUGCUGGCCCCUCCUGCAACAAUCGGGUAAGGGGACCCAGGACCACAGGGAGGCUCCAGGGAGCCCCGUGGGUGCCUCCAGCAGCCGUCGGGGGUCUCUGUCCCUCACACCUCAUCUGUGAGGGUCCCUUGGCAAGGCAGCCCCUCCCGCUUGCCCAGGGUGGCAGGCCGGCUGCCCGCAUGCAGAGGCUGCUGGGAGGGUCCCCUCAUGCUCUCCCCUCCCCGUCCCCUGCCUACCCAGCCAGGGCUCUCGCUCCCAGCAGCCAACGGUACAGCCCGCCUCGGUCUCUGGGGUGCUAGAUACACUCUGCCUGGAGCCCAGGUACUGGAACCUCUGUGCCUGGGCCAUGGGGGGCAGGUUAAGGGAGGCCCUGCCCCUGGAGCGCAGGAGCCCUCACCUCAGUCGGCGCUGCAGAACCAGCCCAGGAGAGCAGCUGGCCUGUCAUCUGCUGAGGAGCGGAGGCGUGCGGGGAUCCGGAGGGGAAGGGGGUCUGGAGUGCUCCGGGGGAGACCCUCAGGGACUGCCCUGCUGCUGGCAGCGCCUGGGCCCACGGCUGAUGGAGGCGUCUCCUGGCCCCCAGGGCUGUGCCCAGGACUGCAAUGGCCUCCCACACUACCUCACUACCCUGGUCCAGGCUCACUGACAGAUGAGGAAACUGAGGCAGGGGCCCCGGUCUCACGGCCAUUGGUGCAGAGCUGGGAUCCACGACCAGAUUCUACCAAUUAAAAAAAGGAAAUGUGGGCCGGGCGUGGUGGCUCAUGCCUGUGAUCCCAGCACUUUGGGAGGCCGAGGCAGGUGGAUCACCCAAGGUCAGGAGUUCAAGAGCAGCCUGGCCAACAGGGUGAAAUCCCAUCUCUCCUAAAAAAACAAAACAAAACAAAACAAAACAAAACAAAAACAGAAUUAGCCGGGCAUGGUGGUGGGCACCUGUAGUCCCAGCUACUGGGGAGGCUGAGGCAGAAGAAUCACAUAAACCCAGGAGGCCGGAGGUUCCAACGAACUAGGAUCGCACCACUGCACUCCAGCCUGGGCAACAAAGUGAGACUCUGUCUCAAAAAAAAAAAAAAAAAGAAAAAAAAAGGAAAAGAGAAAGAAAAAGAAAAAAAGUGACAAUUCACAUAGACCCCUGAAAACCUCUGGGCUUAGGGACAGCAAGAGCCUUCCUGGGGCCUCCUGGACCAUGUCAGGGCCUCCGAGGCCUCUGGGACGCCAUCCCUGCUCAGCUUCCUCACUCUCCUUUUGCCCGAGAACAAGCUCUGUUCUGGCCACGGCGUUGUCUACACAACACAGCUAACUGCUUUGCCAUCAGCCCUCAUACAGAUUUAAAACACACACACACACACACACAAAAGAUAAGGUUAUGGGCUGCACUGCGUCCCCCAAAUUCACAGAGUGAAGUCCCGACUUCAGGAUCCGCCUGUAUUCAGACACAGGGUCUUUACAGAGGCGACAAAGGUGAAACAAGGUUACCAGGGUGGGCUCUGACCUGACCUACCGGCGUCCUUAAAAGAGGAGGACACAGACACGCAGGAGGGGCGGCCACGCAAGGACACAGGGAGGUGGUGCCGCCUGCCUGCAAGGAGAGGCCUCGUAACAGCCACGCCGCACCUCAACCCGGGACGCCCCCAGGACUGGAGAGAACCCACAUCUGCUGUGGGAGCACCUGGCCACGGUGUGUGCGAGGCGGCCCCGGCAAACUCACGUAGACAGGACCCAGCUCCCCCAGGCCAUCUUUCAAUGGGAGAGGGUGACCCAGUGUUUUCCCAAAACCCAGCACGGUCCCCAGGACGCGUUCCCCACCAGGGUGGGCUGGGCCGGAUCACAGCCCAGGCUCCCAGAGACUUCCGGUGCCACAUCAGCUCACAGAGCUUCCUGUUUCAGCCCAGAUCAGAAACACCAUGAGACGCCCAAGGAGGAAUAUUUUAAUACUUCUGCUAUUGGCCUCACCCAAAACCAGAAAGUGCAGGGAGUCGUGAAAAUGAAGAAAAUGAUCAGAACCUGAGGGACCAGGCCGUGCCAUCCGAAGACAAUCCUGAGAUCUCUCUCCGGGCCCUGCCCUGCCCCUCCCUCUCUGCCCCCAGCAGGAGCCCCCUUUUCCCCUGGGGCCAAGAACCCAGGCCACACAGGGUGCAGAAGACCCGCCAGGGAGGCCACAGCAGGGGACAGAAAAGAAGGCCCGUCGCUGGCAUGAGGGGUGGCUUCCAUGUGGGGAAACUGAGUCAGUAGCAAUUCCAGAUUGGAGGUCCUAACCAGGUCAGGUAUGCGGGCACCGCACCGUCAGCCAAGACCACAGCCCCACCUCCUCAACAGCUGGGCCCACGCCAUCGGGGGGGCGUUCCAAGAGACUUAAAAAAACCAUAACCCAACCCCGAGGAGGUGCCCUCUGAGGUGGGGUGUCCCAUACUAGAGUCAGGGUGACCUGAGGACAGGCCAGGCACACAGGGCCACCCUGAGUAAAGACGGGGGACCCAGGAGGGCCUGGGACUAGCCAGGAUGGUGGCUGCUGUGUUGAGAGGGCAUCUGGGACCCCAACCCGCAGCCCCUCGUCUCCUUAUGAGCCAUGGGGCCUCAGGAAAUGCACCCCAUUUCGUGCCUCAGUUUCCCUCCUGGGCUGAACUGUGUCCCCCACAGCCAUGUGUUGAGGUCCUGACCCCAGACCUGUGAGUGUGACCUUAUUUGGAGGCAGGGUCUGCACAGAGGUAACGAGGUUAAAGCAAGGUCAGCUGGGUGGGCCCUGACCCACCCAGACACACAGAGAGAGAACAGGCCACAUGACACGGGGCCGAGGCCGUGGCAGUGCUUCCGCCAGCCAAGAAGCACGGAAGACCUCAGGCCACAAAGCCAGGAGCGGCCUGGGACAGACCCCACUCACGGCCUCGGGGGCCAGCCCUGCUCACACCUUGACCUUGGACU
Molecule: long non-coding RNA, 2949 nt
Filed under: Homo sapiens (human)
Lineage: Eukaryota; Metazoa; Chordata; Mammalia; Primates; Hominidae
Description: non-protein coding LINC01678:18
Source: RNAcentral